RNAcentral lists this ribosomal RNA (253 nucleotides) under uncultured bacterium. RNAcentral's name for it is "partial 16S ribosomal RNA". It matches the Rfam family "Bacterial small subunit ribosomal RNA", at positions 524 to 776 of the family's 1533-position model. The record is from RNAcentral.
UACGUAGGGUGCGAGCGUUAAUCGGAAUUACUGGGCGUAAAGCGUGCGCAGGCGGUUCGUUGUGUCUGUGGUGAAAGCCCCGGGCUUAACCUGGGAAUGGCCAUGGAAACUGGCGAGCUGGAGUGUGGCAGAGGGGGGUGGAAUUCCGCGUGUAGCAGUGAAAUGCGUAGAGAUCCGGAGGAACACCGAAGGCGAAGGCAGUGUCCUGGCGGGUGACUGACGCUGAGGUGCGAAAGCUAGGGGAGCGAACGGG